Non-coding RNA from Danio rerio (zebrafish), 406 nucleotides. The record is from RefSeq and is a predicted model, not a curated record. NCBI's taxonomy places the organism in Eukaryota, Metazoa, Chordata, Actinopteri, Cypriniformes, Danionidae.
CAGAAUCUUUUGACAUAUGAAUUCAUCUUGACUAAGGAACUCUUCACAGCACUGCAUUUGAACAGUCACAACCCCACAGAGCAGCACAACCGCCCCACUCAUGAUCAGUGUUAUGGUGCCAUUUUAAAGCUGGAACCUCAUCUUGUGUACAGCAAAGGCAGAGCUGAAAAUUCACUGUUUGUCUUGUAUUGUGUGUGGCAAGACCUGGAAUAACACCUGGGAGCCCUCCAGGAAUUCCUGACACUUUACGCCCAAGUCUCCUCAUGCUAACCGGAUUGCAAUAUGACAGUCUAGUCAGCAUAAACACCUGGACUCACCAAGCACACUUUGGUUCUCAGUGUUUUUUGGUUCUGUAGUAUUUUUUAAAAACAGCUUUUAUUGACUUGAUCAGUAUAUAUCAGACUAU